Molecule: ribosomal RNA, 253 nt
Filed under: uncultured bacterium
Lineage: Bacteria
Description: partial 16S ribosomal RNA
Rfam family: Bacterial small subunit ribosomal RNA
Source: RNAcentral
UACGAAGGGGGCUAGCGUUGUUCGGAUUCAUUGGGCGUAAAGGGUGCGUAGGUGGCGCUGUAAGUCAGGUGUGAAAUUUCGGAGCUUAACUCCGAAACUGCAUUUGAUACUGCGGUGCUUGAGGACUGGAGAGGAGACUGGAAUUUACGGUGUAGCAGUGAAAUGCGUAGAGAUCGUAAGGAAGACCAGUGGCGAAGGCGGGUCUCUGGACAGUUCCUGACACUGAGGCACGAAGGCCAGGGGAGCAAACGGG